AAGUCAUAUGCUUGUCUUAAAGAUUAAGCCAUGCAUGUCUAAGUAUAAAUAGUAUACAGUGAAACUGCGAAUGGCUCAUUAAAACAGUUAUAGUUUAUUUGAUAAUGAAAUCACAUGGAUAACCGUGGUAAUUCUAGAGCUAAUACAUGCAUCAAAUCCCGACUUACGAAGGGGGGCAUUUAUUAGAUUUAACCAUCACUAGGUGAAUCAUAGUAACUUUUCUGAUCACGCGACAGCGUGACAAAUCAUUCAAGUUUCUGCCCUAUCAGCUUUCGAUGGUAGUGUAUUGGACUACCAUGGCAGUCACGGGUAACGGAGAAUUAGGGUUCGAUUCCGGAGAGGGAGCCUGAGAAACGGCUACCACAUCUAAGGAAGGCAGCAGGCGCGUAAAUUACCCAAUCCCGAUUCGGGGAGGUAGUGACAAGAAAUAACAACUCAGAUGGUUAUCCAUUUUGAGAUUGCAAUGAGAUAAAUCCAAAAACCUAAGCGAUUAUCAAUUGGAGGGCAAGUCUGGUGCCAGCAGCCGCGGUAAUUCCAGCUCCAAUAGCGUAUACUUAAGUUGUUGCAGUUAAAAAGCUCGUAGUUGAAAUUCGGUCUGCCAGUCUUCGGACAUCAUGGCGGAUCUCCGCUUACAAUCUACUCGAGCUUUAAACCUUGAGUUGUAGAGUAGGCAGUUUACCUUGAAAAAAUUAGAGUGUUUCAGGCAGGUUUUCGCCGGAAUACAUUAGCAUGGAAUAAUGGAAUAGGACUUUAGCCU
Molecule: ribosomal RNA, 757 nt
Filed under: Paramecium bursaria
Lineage: Eukaryota; Ciliophora; Oligohymenophorea; Peniculida; Parameciidae
Description: SSU rRNA
Rfam family: Eukaryotic small subunit ribosomal RNA
Source: RNAcentral